UUAGAGACUCGUUUGGAGUAUAAACAAAAUUAAGAAAGCUUACUUAAAGUAGCUUUGGUUUUUUUACUGGUUGGUAUAUAAAAGAAAUAACCCCUAAGAUUAGUAUCAGGGAUAAGAAAGAGAUUAGAAACUAGAAGUUGGAAGUUAGAAAAAGGAUGCAAGUCUAAAUUCUAACAAUCUAAACUCUGACAUCUAAGACAGUCUCGUAGCUCAGCUGGUUAGAGCGCUACACUGAUAAUGUAGAGGUCGGCAGUUCGAGCCUGCCCGAGACUACUAAUUUAAGAUAGAGGGGGAAUUAGCUCAGCUGGCUAGAGCGCCUGCCUUGCACGCAGGAGGUCAAGGGUUCGACUCCCUUAUUCUCCACAAGGGUUAGAUAUUUAAUUUAAAAGUGACGGAUGGAGCCAAAUACAACAUCAGUUCAUUAAAUAUUUAGCGAGCGUAAAGCACAUUGACAUUAACGGUAAAAGACAUCACAAAGAGAAAACCGAGCACUUAUAAGUGCUUGAGUAACCAAAAAUAUUAGGAAAGAAAUCGUUAAGGGCGUAUGGCGGAUGCCUAGGCUUUCAGAGGCGACG
This 575-nucleotide transfer RNA is filed under the name Riemerella anatipestifer. RNAcentral's name for it is "16S-23S ribosomal RNA intergenic spacer". The stretch from base 290 to 363 matches the Rfam family "tRNA". The record is from RNAcentral. Lineage: Bacteria; Pseudomonadati; Bacteroidota; Flavobacteriia; Flavobacteriales; Weeksellaceae.